RNAcentral lists this long non-coding RNA (366 nucleotides) under Panax ginseng (ginseng). RNAcentral describes it as "long non-coding RNA (PGIN_LNC019024)". Lineage: Eukaryota; Viridiplantae; Streptophyta; Magnoliopsida; Apiales; Araliaceae. The record is from RNAcentral.
GGCUAUCUGAGUGGGUUAUUAGGCAGCUGAUGUGUAAAUAAAAAAAGAUUAUUUUAGUAUUUAUUUAAACAUUUAUUAUACAGUAAGGUCAAAUUCGUCAAAUCACUUUAAAACCUAACAAAAAUUACUUUGACUUCAUCCUCUUCGUUUUCUCUUUCUCUGUUUGAAUUCAUCCUCUUUGUUUUCUUUUCCACCAACCUCCAUAGCUUAGUCUCAGGUUCCUCUACUCGCCAUUCACAAGAUUCAACAAAAUCACCCACAACAUGAAGAGGAGAAGAAGGAGAAACUCAUCCAGCCCAAAAUCUACCAAAAAGAGGAAAUAAUUAUCACACACCAAAAACCACAACAAAAUAUCAAACACCUUAC